AGUCGAGGGGUAGAGUUAGCUUGCUAACUUGAGACCGGCGCACGGGUGCGUAACGCGUAUGCAAUCUACCUUUCACAAAGGGAUAGCCCAGAGAAAUUUGGAUUAAUACCUUAUAGUAUAUAUGAAUGGCAUCAUUUAUAUAUUAAAGAUUUAUCGGUGAAAGAUGAGCAUGCGUCCCAUUAGCUAGUUGGUAAGGUAACGGCUUACCAAGGCAACGAUGGGUAGGGGUCCUGAGAGGGAGAUCCCCCACACUGGUACUGAGACACGGACCAGACUCCUACGGGAGGCAGCAGUGAGGAAUAUUGGACAAUGGGCGCAAGCCUGAUCCAGCCAUGCCGCGUGCAGGAUGACGGUCCUAUGGAUUGUAAACUGCUUUUAUACGAGAAGAAACCCUCCGACGUGUCGGAGCUUGACGGUAUCGUAAGAAUAAGGAUCGGCUAACUCCGUGCCAGCAGCCGCGGUAAUACGGAGGAUCCAAGCGUUAUCCGGAAUCAUUGGGUUUAAAGGGUCCGUAGGCGGUCAGGUAAGUCAGUGGUGAAAGCCCAUCGCUCAACGGUGGAACGGCCAUUGAUACUGCCUGACUUGAAUUAUUAGGAAGUAACUAGAAUAUGUAGUGUAGCGGUGAAAUGCUUAGAGAUUACAUGGAAUACCAAUUGCGAAGGCAGGUUACUACUAAUGGAUUGACGCUGAUGGACGAAAGCGUGGGUAG
RNAcentral lists this ribosomal RNA (709 nucleotides) under uncultured bacterium. Its description in RNAcentral is "bacterial SSU rRNA". It matches the Rfam family "Bacterial small subunit ribosomal RNA", at positions 60 to 768 of the family's 1533-position model. The record is from RNAcentral.